Molecule: ribosomal RNA, 253 nt
Filed under: uncultured bacterium
Lineage: Bacteria
Description: partial 16S ribosomal RNA
Rfam family: Bacterial small subunit ribosomal RNA
Source: RNAcentral
UACGUAGGUGGCAAGCGUUGUCCGGAUUUAUUGGGUUUAAAGGGUGCGUAGGCGGUCGGGUAAGUCUGACGUGAAAUCUUCAAGCUCAACUUGGAAACUGCGUCCGAUACUAUUCGGCUAGAGGAAUGGAGGGGAGACUGGAAUACUUGGUGUAGCAGUGAAAUGCGUAGAUAUCAAGUGGAACACCAGUGGCGAAGGCGAGUCUCUGGACAUUUCCUGACGCUGAGGCACGAAAGCCAGGGGAGCAAACGGG